CGUGGGACUUGUAUGGAAGUUGAUUUCAAGACUAGAAAAUAGUGACCAGAAGAAAGGUCAACCAGAUAACAAUCUUGGGCAUCUUGAUUUUUUCUUUCUUUUUACAGUGUUUGUCCACUCAGCGAGAUUUAUAUACAGAGGAAAAACCAAAGCUACAAUAACCCUUUUAUCUUCAAAAUUAUUGUACAUCCUACUCAUUAGAGAAUUAGAUUAGCUACUACAAAAUAGAAGAAAAGCCCUGGAUCAUUUUCAACCCCUGCACAAACUGCCUCUGAGAAAUUUCAUUCUGAUUUCCCGUCCCAUCCCCAGGACUGUUUAAGUUUCUUCAGCAACAAAAUUGUCAAUCCUAGAAAUGGCCAUGCCAUAGAGAAUAAAAUAUACCUUCCAAGUAUUUUGAAGAUCUAUGCUACCAGCAGAAAAGAAUUUGGUCACGUUGCCCCUGAAGUUGCAGUAACUCCACUUCCAUCUCUCAACCCCUGGAGGCAUAAAUUUAGUGUUCUUUGCACACUAUCUGCAACCAUUCUCAACCUUCCUUGGGUAAAAUCAGCGGAACAUCCAUUUAUUUCCACAGUUCGAAUCACCUCCUGUUUACAUUUUUCCCAAUCAUCAACACGCAGCCAGCAAGCUUGGCCUCCAUGGCUUCCUUCCAUGCCAAGGAAUGUUACGUUAGUGUUUUCACCAAAUGAAUAUCUCAACCUCACUGAGACACAAUAGGGCAACCAAGCAGCACC
Molecule: unclassified non-coding RNA, 731 nt
Filed under: Hevea brasiliensis (rubber tree)
Lineage: Eukaryota; Viridiplantae; Streptophyta; Magnoliopsida; Malpighiales; Euphorbiaceae
Source: RNAcentral